This 771-nucleotide ribosomal RNA is filed under the name uncultured bacterium. Its description in RNAcentral is "bacterial SSU rRNA". It matches the Rfam family "Bacterial small subunit ribosomal RNA", at positions 8 to 796 of the family's 1533-position model. The record is from RNAcentral.
AGAGUUUGAUCCUGGCUCAGGACGAACGCUGGCGGCGUGCUUAACACAUGCAAGUCGAGCGGAAAGGCCCUUCGGGGUACUCGAGCGGCGAACGGGUGAGUAACACGUGAGUAACCUGCCCUGGACUUUGGGAUAACCCUCGGAAACGGGGGCUAAUACCGGAUACGACACACUGACGCAUGUUGUGUGUGUGGAAAGUUUUUCGGUCUGGGAUGGGCUCGCGGCCUAUCAGCUUGUUGGUGGGGUGAUGGCCUACCAAGGCGACGACGGGUAGCCGGCCUGAGAGGGCGACCGGCCACACUGGGACUGAGACACGGCCCAGACUCCUACGGGAGGCAGCAGUGGGGAAUAUUGCACAAUGGGCGGAAGCCUGAUGCAGCGACGCCGCGUGAGGGAUGACGGCCUUCGGGUUGUAAACCUCUUUCAGCAGGGACGAAGCGCAAGUGACGGUACCUGCAGAAGAAGCGCCGGCCAACUACGUGCCAGCAGCCGCGGUAAGACGUAGGGCGCGAGCGUUGUCCGGAUUUAUUGGGCGUAAAGAGCUCGUAGGCGGCUUGUCGCGUCGACCGUGAAAACUUGGGGCUCAACCCCAAGCCUGCGGUCGAUACGGGCAGGCUCGAGUUCGGUAGGGGAGACUGGAAUUCCUGGUGUAGCGGUGAAAUGCGCAGAUAUCAGGAGGAACACCGGUGGCGAAGGCGGGUCUCUGGGCCGAUACUGACGCUGAGGAGCGAAAGCGUGGGGAGCGAACAGGAUUAGAUACCCUAGUAGUCC